RNAcentral lists this long non-coding RNA (581 nucleotides) under Homo sapiens (human). RNAcentral describes it as "HSALNT0189824". Lineage: Eukaryota; Metazoa; Chordata; Mammalia; Primates; Hominidae. The record is from RNAcentral.
AGAAUCGCUUGAACCCCGGAGGUAGAGGUUGCAGUGAGCUGAGAUCGCGCAACUGCACUAGAGCCUGGGUGACAGAGCAAGACUCCAUCUCAAAUAAAUAAAUAAAUUAAUUAAUUUAUUUAUUUAUUUAAUUAAAUAAAAUAGAGAUGAGUUCUCAUUAUGUGUUAGCCAGGCUGGUCUCAUACUCCUGGGCUCAAGCAAUCCUCCCACCUCAGUGCUGGAAUUACAGGCAUGAGUCACUGUGCCUACCUGAUUUUUGUGGGUUUUUUUUUUUUUUAGAGACGGGGUCUCACUAGGCUGCCCAGGCUGGGGUGCAGUGGCUAUUCAUAGGCAUGAUCAUAGUGCACUACAGCCUCAAACUCCUGGGUUUGCAUGAUCCUCUUGCCUUACCUGCACCUGCCUCCUGAAUAACUGGGAAUAUAUGCAUGUGCCACCGUGCCCAGCAAAAAAUAAACUUUUUGUUUUAGAAUAUUAUUAGAUUUAUAGAAAAAUUGUGGGCUAGGUGUGGUGGCUCAUAUCUGUAAUCCCAGCACUUUGGGAGUCUGAGGCAGGAGGAUUGCUUGAGCCCAGGAGUUCGAGAC